Molecule: ribosomal RNA, 460 nt
Filed under: uncultured bacterium
Lineage: Bacteria
Description: partial 16S ribosomal RNA
Rfam family: Bacterial small subunit ribosomal RNA
Source: RNAcentral
CCUACGGGUGGCAGCAGUGAGGAAUAUUGGUCAAUGGGCGCGAGCCUGAACCAGCCAAGUAGCGUGAAGGAUGACUGCCCUACGGGUUGUAAACUUCUUUUAUAAAGGAAUAAAGUGAGGCACGUGUGCCUUUUUGUAUGUAUUUUAUGAAUAAGGAUCGGCUAACUCCGUGCCAGCAGCCGCGGUAAUACGGAGGAUCCGAGCGUUAUCCGGAUUUAUUGGGUUGAAAGGGAGCGUAGAUGGGUUGUUAAGUCAGUUGUGAAAGGUUGCGGCUCAACCGUAAAAUUGCAAUUGAUACUGGCAGCCUUGAGUUCAGUUGAGGUAAGCGGAAUUCGUGGUGUAGCGGUGAAAUGCUUAGAUAUUACGAAGAACUCCGAUGGCGAAGGCAGCCUACUAAACUGCAACUGACGUUGAUGCUCGAAAGUGUGGGUAUCAAACAGGAUUAGAUACCCGAGUAGUC